CCGUCCCUCAGGUGCCCCUCUGUCACCGCUGCAGUGUUGCGGUACGCCUGAGGAGGCGGGUCUAAUCGGUAAGACAGGCCGCCUUGCAGAGGGUGCCACGUCAUCCUGCGGCAAGCCGGGGACUUAAUGACGGCACGCCACCGGUUCCCUGCUCGGCAGACCCAGCUGGGGACAUGGCAGGCGCUCUUUGGAGAGCUACCAUUUUCCGUUCAAGAGAUGAAACCGAAAGAGAGUGGAGACGCAGUGCAGAAUUUGCUGAGAUCUGCGAGGAAGCCUGCAAGAGCAACCGGGCAGGCUGGCGGUACCCAGGCAGCAUCCUGGGAUUUUGAUCAUAGAGGCACCACGGCUCAGAGAUGUACCCUGACGGCCGUCCUGGAGCGGGGACCUUUACCGAGAGCCCGAGCUCAGCUGUGCGUGAUGGAUGCGGUACUUUGAUUGUCGCUCAUGUGUUCUAGUCUCUGUUUAAAGAGGUUGGACAUGUACGUACUCGCGAGGCCCUUACUUCAUUUGAUCUAGUGACAGGGGUGCGAGCCUUGGGGUUUCUGGUACCGCCGCAGUGCUUUGUCCUCUCCUUGCAGAGGAAAACGGAAAGAAUGAAAGCAGCAAACGGAACGAGCCCAGUGAGGCAGACAGAUGAGCCUGAGGCAGCAGGCUCCAGCAGCAGCCAGAAACACUCAAGAUGCUACGGACGGUGCUUAGCAAUACCACAGACCCAUCUCCCCACCAGCAGUCUGGAGCACCUUGCAGGCAACUAACAGGAGCGAUUGGUGGGGACAACUCCCCUCAGAGAGAAAACCUUCUUUUUAAAGUCCCUAGGUGACACUUUGUGCUUGAUUGCUAACCUAAAGGUUGGUCAUUGAAACUCACCCAGUGGUACGGAUAAAGAAAAAGCCCGGCGAUCUGCUGCCCAUAAAGAUUAUUGCCAAGAAAACCCUAUGGAGUAGUUCUACUCUGCAACACAUGGGGUCACCCUGAGUCGGAGUGGACUCCAUGGCAACUAACAGCAGCAGUUUAAAACACCCUAAGGAAGAAUUCAAUUUGUCCAACCAAGAUGUUGCUUCCGAAUCCAGCCACACAUUCACCAUGCCAGUAGCCCUACACAGCUAUUCCUGGAAACCGGACAAGCAAAUCACACUACUGAUGUGCACAUCUGCAAUCUGAUGUGCGUGAAACCACUUUCAGGGAAUCUCUUGAUGCUGAGCUUGGGGCAUCUCCACUCUACCUAAGAUGCUGGAAGAGGUACCACCACCCGUGACGGAGCAAGCAGAGCAGCUUCCCACAGUAAAUGAAGGAGGCUGCAUCAGUCAUUUUGCGGGCUUGAUGCCCAGGGCCACUUUCCCAGAACACCCCAUGAUGGGAGCAACAUAAUAGUGAGAACUAAAUGUGUGAAUCAACAGAGUCCUGGGGUCUGCCCUGGAUGGCUUCUUGUCAGGACACACAUAAAGUGAAACCGCAAUUAGCCGUUACACUAUAUUCUGCCAUCACAGUGGUUUUGCACCUGGGCAUCUAAACUUGCACCAGAUUACUGAAGUUUUCCCUUGCUGUUGACAUCAGCUGUUGGGGAAGAUGACUUCUGGGCACUUUCUCAAUGGACUUUUUGUUUUUGUUUUGAUUUGUUUUGUUUUCCUCUUUUGAGGCAGAUCCUAGCAAUUUAGUUACAAGUCCUUAAUCCAGGAUCUUCCCGAGCUUCCUGCCUUCUGAUAUCUGGUCCGAAAACCAGGUCUUAUUCGCGUCUGUCCAAAAGGUUGGCAGUUUGAAUCCUCUCAUCCUGGAAAAAAAGGCCUGAUGACCUACUUCCGAAAUAUCAGCCACUGAAAACCCUACAGAGCACAGUUCUACUCUGACACACAUGGGGUCACCAUGAGUCGGAGUCUACUCAUUGACAAUUAUUCACAUACAUAAAUAAGCAGCCCAGGACAACAAUGCUUAGUACACAGGAGUCAUACAAUAAAUGUUACAUGAAAUAAUGUUCCUAGGCAAGAUUUCUGACUUCCUUCUCAAUUGUACCCUCAGUCUCAGGUUCAUGGGCUUCCCCAACAUAUGCCUAUCACCCUCUUGAGAAAAAUUAUACACACAUGCACACACACACACAAACACCCUUUGGCUGUCUGACUACCAAGAAGUACCCACAGUAAGACUGUCACGAAUACUCUGCUUAAUUUACUGUGUUUAUACCUGGCAUAUCUAUGACAUUGAAUCAAGUGAUAUUCUUUACUCAUGCACCAUAUCUUGUUGAACACUCUUGGCACGGAGUUAUAUUGAGAAGUUUAAUUCACAGCAAGUAAUAUUUAACAUUUGUUCAGUAGUUGGUAUAUAAAGCCGGCAAGCUCCCCUUCCCCCUGCUGCCAAAUUUCUCAUCUUGUGAGCCAAGAGUCUUCCCACUCCGGCUUUAUUGCCUAUGCUGCAUGCCCUCCUGACUUUUUCCACUUCAGUAUCAACCGACUAUCUCUUUGCGCAGCCUGAGGGCCACAAAGAGGUCACCUGUUGUUCCAGCUGUGAGCUAGCCUGCCUCACCCACUCCCAAAACUCCCCUCACUAAACUCAUUUUGCUGGGAGAGAGAGGCUGUUUCCCCACCAGCCCCCAAACCCCAACUUUCAAUAUUCUUUCUCAU
Molecule: long non-coding RNA, 2612 nt
Organism: Loxodonta africana (African savanna elephant)
Lineage: Eukaryota; Metazoa; Chordata; Mammalia; Proboscidea; Elephantidae
Exons: 3
Source: RefSeq, a predicted model, not a curated record